Small nucleolar RNA from Melanotaenia boesemani (Boeseman's rainbowfish), 67 nucleotides. The record is from RefSeq and is a predicted model, not a curated record. NCBI's taxonomy places the organism in Eukaryota, Metazoa, Chordata, Actinopteri, Atheriniformes, Melanotaeniidae.
UUGGAAAUGAUGCAUUACCACAUCUGAUUCUCCAUGAUGGUGUUUGUAUUCAUACUGUCUGAUCCAG